CGGACGGGUGAGUAAAGCAUAGGAAUCUACCCAGUAGUGGGGGAUAACGUGGAGAAAUUCACGCUAAUACCGCAUAUGUCCUACGGGACAAAGCAGGGGACCUUCGGGCCUUGCGCUAUUGGAUGAGCCUAUGUCGGAUUAGCUAGUUGGUAGGGUAAAAGCCUACCAAGGCGACGAUCCGUAGCUGGUCUGAGAGGAUGAUCAGCCACACUGGGACUGAGACACGGCCCAG
Molecule: ribosomal RNA, 232 nt
Filed under: uncultured bacterium
Lineage: Bacteria
Description: partial 16S ribosomal RNA
Rfam family: Bacterial small subunit ribosomal RNA
Source: RNAcentral